GCGAGUGAUCAAGCGUCAAAAGGGCAUUGGUGGAUGCCUUGGUGCCAAG
RNAcentral lists this ribosomal RNA (49 nucleotides) under uncultured Alphaproteobacteria bacterium. RNAcentral's name for it is "partial 23S ribosomal RNA". The record is from RNAcentral. Lineage: Bacteria; Pseudomonadati; Pseudomonadota; Alphaproteobacteria.